ACUCGAAAACCCUUCUUCAAGGUAAUAAAAUCAACAAAACAAACACAAACAAUUUCAAAACCACGAACUACGGACGCUCUGAUUUCUCACUUCAACAAGUGGGCAUACGUAGGCACGAGGAUCCAUUCCUUGGCGAGCACACUAAUUUAAAAUCUACCUCCACUCCGCAAACCUUUGGCAAGCAAACAUUCGAUAAACAAUACACACGUAAGCGCAAACAUCCUAGAUGGUUCCCAUGGAGUACCAUGGAUGUGAGGGGUGCUAAUACCUUCCCCUUGCAUAACCGACUUCCGAACCUGUUCGUGGUUGCGACGACCAUAUUUUGG
This 326-nucleotide long non-coding RNA is filed under the name Lathyrus oleraceus (garden pea). RNAcentral's name for it is "Pisum sativum (pea) long non-coding RNA (PSAT_LNC032800)". The record is from RNAcentral. Lineage: Eukaryota; Viridiplantae; Streptophyta; Magnoliopsida; Fabales; Fabaceae.